RNAcentral lists this ribosomal RNA (254 nucleotides) under uncultured bacterium. RNAcentral's name for it is "partial 16S ribosomal RNA". It matches the Rfam family "Bacterial small subunit ribosomal RNA", at positions 524 to 776 of the family's 1533-position model. The record is from RNAcentral.
UACGUAGGGUGCGAGCGUUGUCCGGAAUUAUUGGGCGUAAAGAGCUCGUAGGCGGCUUGUCGCGUCGGAUGUGAAAGCCCGGGGCUUAACUCCGGGUCUGCAUUCGAUACGGGCAGGCUAGAGUUCGGUAGGGGAGAUCGGAAUUCCUGGUGUAGCGGUGAAAUGCGCAGAUAUCGAGAGGAACACCAGAGGUGAAGACGGGUUGCUGGGCCGACACUGACGCUGACAGCGCGAAAGCCAGGGGAGCAAACGGG